RNAcentral lists this ribosomal RNA (253 nucleotides) under uncultured bacterium. RNAcentral describes it as "partial 16S ribosomal RNA". It matches the Rfam family "Bacterial small subunit ribosomal RNA", at positions 524 to 776 of the family's 1533-position model. The record is from RNAcentral.
UACAGAGGUGGCAAGCGUUGUUCGGAAUUACUGGGCGUAAAGCGCACGUAGGCGGCUUUGUAAGUUAGAGGUGAAAGCCCGGGGCUCAACUCCGGAAUUGCCUUUAAGACUGCAUCGCUAGAAUUGUGGAGAGGUAAGUGGAAUUCCGAGUGUAGAGGUGAAAUUCGUAGAUAUUCGGAAGAACACCGGUGGCGAAGGCGGCUCACUGGCCCGUAACUGACGCUCAUGCACGACAGCGUGGGGAUCAAACAGG